Erigeron canadensis is the source of this 147-nucleotide long non-coding RNA. RefSeq lists it as uncharacterized. Lineage: Eukaryota; Viridiplantae; Streptophyta; Magnoliopsida; Asterales; Asteraceae. The record is from RefSeq and is a predicted model, not a curated record. The transcript is spliced from 2 exons.
AAAUCAAACCCUAAAUUUUUGCGCCACCCUUGCCUUCUAAUUAACAAAAAGAAAAUUAAAAUCUGAAAAAUCAGCCUUUGAUUUACUUAAAUUAUCGGAUUGGUGAUUAGACGUACAAUUGGAGAUACACCUAUAAAAAUUGAAUUG